GUAGUAUUUUUACAUCCUGGCACAAAACACGAUUUAUAUAUUAAUCAAAGCUUAGUAAUAACGCUUAUUUUAGGAUCAUCGAGAGAAUAAUUGUCGUAUUUACUUUGUAUCAUACGUUCAGUAUUUAUUUUAUACCUAUAGCGUCACAAAAUAUGGCGGCCUUACUGAAAUAUUUAAACUAUUUACAGCAUUUUCAAUAACUUUUUUUUCCAUAUUGAUGAAAGAAUUUAAAAAACUAUUUUUCCUCAAACCACAGAGAAAAUUGGUAAUCGUAUCGUUUAACCCUCACAGUUCCGAUUUAGUAUCUGUAGAGGUUAUCAUGCUGAUUAAUUUGCUAUGAAUAUAUAGUGCGCGGAAAUCAUAUCUUCACAUAAUUUUUUAUGCUGAAAAUUGAAUUAAUAUAAUGAUUUCUUUACAUGCAAUAUUUCUCAGAAACGGUGUAUCCAAUCAAGAUGAUAUCACUAUCUAAGGAAUUCAUGUAAAACUUAGCAGUCUUUGUUUGUCGAAUAUAUGCUAUUUGUAUGAUACGAGAUGAAGAAUUUAACGGCGAAGCAUGAAAAAGUAAUUUAGGAGUUGCGUUGUACUGGAAUAGGAAAACUGAAAAUUUUAUACCAGCUGGACAAGAAGAAAGAGGACGUCCCUCAAAUAGAGCCAAAUUCAUGGAUAAGACGACAAAGAUCACUUGCCCAAUGUGCACAGUACAGCUCUGCGAUUAUUGUUUUGCUAAGAAUCAUCAAACAUCAAACGAUGUUUUUCUUUAAUUUUUUUUCCUUUUCAUUGCAAUAUAUAUAUUAUAUCCUCUACUAUUUCUAAUUAUACCAAUUUGUAUACGAGUAUAUAUAUACUAAAUUAUCAAAAAAUAUUCUGUUUUGUAAAUAUUACAUGCAUUAUUAAAAUAAAAAUAGUUAAGACUGUAGUUUUUUCAUCAGUGGUGUACAAAAUCGGGCUCAAUCCAUUCAAAAUUUGAAAUUUAUGUCAGUAAGUCAAGUCAAGUUCCAUGACAUCCAAGUCACAAUGUCUUUUAGAGAUGCUUGAACAAUUAUAUAUGUAAGAGAUUGUUACCGCAUCAAUAGCAGAAGUACUAAUAUGAAUGAAGCUCUCAUAAUCACCUAUACCUGAAGAAAAAACAUUCCUUAGUUCACUAUGUACAGUCAUUUAACCUGAUAUCUAACCGUAUCUUUGAGAAUAUUUCGAAUAUCCAGCCAUAAUUUGAUAUUAACUUUUCCUGCCUUCCGCUAAUUUAGUUUUCAAUGUAAUAAACCACAAUUACUUCAUGUGAUGUUUAUUAAAACUAAUAGGUCUUUUAAAAGUACUUAACCGCGCCCUUUAGCACUUAUUAAAAUUCAAAUUUUCCAUCAACAUAAUCCUUGAAAAACGUAGAAGUUUAUAAAUACAUUGGCAGAAGUAACUUACGUUACGACAAGCAGUGUUUUUGCAGAAUUCUAUUUUAAUUAAUUGUAUUUUCAAAAAACAUAAUUAUAUAAAGUUUUACUAACGACUAUGUAGUAUCAUUAUUAUUAUUUAAUUAACAACAGAAGUCAGCUUAUUAAGGUUGAUACAACGAUGUCAUCUUGCAAGCCAAUAGAAUGUGGAGUACCUCAAGGCUCAGUACUAGGCCCUAUUUUGUUUCUUUUGUUUAUAAACGACAUCGCCUAUCUAGACAUCGGUGGUAAAAUAUGUCUAUUUGCAGACGACACUAGUUUCUCUUGGAGCAACCCUGAUCUAACGGAACUUCGUAGGACCAUAUCUAGUAACCUAAUCACCAUUAAAUCAUGGUGCGAUUCUAAUAUCUGUCUCAACGUUUCUAAAACUAAAUUUUUAUUUGAAAUGGGAGUUACAUAUUGCCGCCUUAUCUAAAAAAAUUGACUUCCUCCUGUUUUGCGCUGAGAUCAGUUUCCAAAGAACUGACCUUAUCCAUCUCCUUAACAGUUUAUUAUGCCCAAAUUGAGUCGCAUCUCCGAUAUGCUAUUCCUUUCUGGAGAACGUGUGGUGCGAUUCAAUUUGAGCGAAUCUUCAAAAUACAAAAGAGAGCUGUUGGAUAUUUACUUGGACUAAACAGCAGGACUCACUGCAGAGACUUCUUUGAAAGAUUAAAAAUUCUGACUUUUCCUUCCUUAUUUAUCUUUGAUAAUUCGUAAGCACGCUUCUCCAAUUUCAGAAAGGACGUUACACGGCUAACCAUUUAGCAACACGACCUUCACCUACCUACUCCACGUUCAAAAUUCUAUUCUAUUCUAAUAAGAAUAUUUAAUUUCGGACAUGCUGCAUACUGGUUUAAUUUUGUUAUGAACUUAUAUAUACCCCCACAAAAAUUAUCGCAUCACUCAUUAUUUUUUAAAUCUUUUAAAUGUGAUGCCUGUUUUUCGAAUUUUAUUAUUAUUACGAAUUAAAACACCAAUAGAUUCGCCUUUUGCAAUAUUUAUUUUAUAUCAGUUCAAUCUACAGAGGACAAAAAGUUUGAUUUACCAAAACAUAGAAAAUAUCAAAAAAAUUGUACAAAACAUCUAUACAAAAAAUGAGCGGUGCUUAAACUAAAACCAGCCAAUGAAUGUCUAAUAGCGUGUGUUGCCGCCCCUCGCCCUAAUUACAGCUUCCAUUCGUCUUCGAAGGAUUCUAAACAGGUUCUGGACGUAUCCUUGCGGCAUGUUUUCCCAGAGAAGAUAAAAAGAACAUUUUGAAGAUCAUCUAGUGCUCUUAUUGGUGCCGGAUGUUGCUGAAUUUGCCAUCCUAUAUGUCCCAGACAUGCUCUGAUGGGCUACGUGCGGGCCAAUUCAGGGUUGGUAUCUCGACCUCUUCUAAGUACUGCCGAACCACUCUAGUAGCGUGUGGACGGGCAUUAUCGUGCAUUAACGCAGAGUUAUGAGGCAUAUAGGGCACUACAUGGGGUUCUAGGAUAUUGGUUAUGUACCUGUCAGCAUUUAGUCUUCCAUCAUUCACUGGUAGUAACUCCGUGCGACCCUCGAAAUAAAUUCCUCCCCAAACCAUGAUAGAGCCACCACCAAAGCUUUCAGUUCGACAGAAAUUAACCUGAUCGUGCCGUUCACCACGUCGCCUAUAUACUGGUACACAAAUACAGACAAAAUCUUGACUCAUCCGUGAAUAAAAUAUUGGACCAAUCUUGAAUAUUCCAAUUUGCGUGUUCUCGAGCAAAUUCCAAUCUUGCUACUCGAUACUCGAUGUUCCCUGGUAAGACGUGAACCUCUAGCUGGCACUCUGGCUCGUAUACCAUCUUUUUUCAGCCUAUUUCGAACUGUUUGUAGAUUUAUUCAGACAUUACGAGCACCAACAGAUCUGUUUGCAGCCUUCGAGCGGUGGUAUGCCUAAUUCUUAACGCCGUUAACCUCAAAUAACGAUCAUCUAUUACCGAAGUUACCUUUCCUCGGCCUUGUCCGGGUCUUCUGGUUAGUUGCCCUUUCUUGGUAGCGAAUAACAACUCUGGAUAUGGUACCCCGGCGACGUAUCUUUGACUGCGGCCAUCUUGUAUGAGCGCGAUGAUUCUAGCGGCUUCUUCAUUCGUCCCAUGUCUUGUUUAACGUUGAGACACAUCCAUUAUUAACAAAAUAAAUUUAAAUUUUCACUAUACAAUAACACAAUUUGCUUAGUUCUCGAUCUCAAUGCAUUCUCCAACACAGAAAUGAUUUACUCGAGCAUUUUUGCUUCCAACAAAAUUUGUAACAAAUUGUGAUAUUUUUUUUGCCCAUGAUAAGAAACCAGAAAUAUCUAUUAAGUUGAUACAUAUACAGAUUGUCCCAAAAAACUAAAAUUAAGUAUUAGAAAUAUAUUAAAAUACCAAAAUGCGAUAAUUUUUGUGCGGAGUUUAUUAAUUAUUUCCUACUCGUAUUUUACUAAUGCCUAUAAUUUUGUUACUCAUUGUGGUUCUUUUCUGUAUAUUGAAAUUUUAUUUUAUUUGUUUUAACUUUGUUUUUUAGUUUUUAUAAGCUUUUGUCUACAAAUUGUAACAAUUUUUUGACAAUAAAGCAUUUCUCUCCUUA
Long non-coding RNA from Diorhabda carinulata, 3992 nucleotides. RefSeq lists it as uncharacterized. The record is from RefSeq and is a predicted model, not a curated record. The transcript is spliced from 3 exons. Lineage: Eukaryota; Metazoa; Arthropoda; Insecta; Coleoptera; Chrysomelidae.